This 253-nucleotide ribosomal RNA is filed under the name uncultured bacterium. RNAcentral's name for it is "partial 16S ribosomal RNA". It matches the Rfam family "Bacterial small subunit ribosomal RNA", at positions 524 to 776 of the family's 1533-position model. The record is from RNAcentral.
UACGUAGGGUGCAAGCGUUGUCCGGAAUUAUUGGGCGUAAAGAGCUCGUAGGCGGUCUGUCGCGUCGGAUGUGAAAACCCAGGGCUCAACCCUGGGCCUGCAUUCGAUACGGGCAGACUAGAGUUCGGUAGGGGAGACUGGAAUUCCUGGUGUAGCGGUGAAAUGCGCAGAUAUCAGGAGGAACACCGAUUGCGAAGGCAGCUCGCUGGGACGUUACUGACGCUGAGACGCGAAAGCGUGGGGAGCGAUCCGG